UACGUAGGGGGCAAGCGUUGUCCGGAUUUAUUGGGCGUAAAGAGCGUGUAGGCGGUCAGGUAGGUCCGUUGUGAAAACUCGAGGCUCAACCUCGAGACGCCGAUGGAAACCAUCUGACUAGAGUCCGGAAGAGGAGAGUGGAAUUCCUGGUGUAGCGGUGAAAUGCGCAGAUAUCGGGAGGAACACCGGUGGCGAAGGCGGUUCUCUGGGCCUGUACUGACGCUGAGGAGCGAAAGCGUGGGGAGCGAACAGG
This 253-nucleotide ribosomal RNA is filed under the name uncultured bacterium. Its description in RNAcentral is "partial 16S ribosomal RNA". It matches the Rfam family "Bacterial small subunit ribosomal RNA", at positions 524 to 776 of the family's 1533-position model. The record is from RNAcentral.